GAUUUAAAUACCUGCCCUGAUACAAUCAGAUGGACAUGAUAUGGAUGGAAAAUUUUCAAUCUGAAGAUUGUACAGAAGAAAUUUGAUCUCACAAUCUGGGAUUAUCCCUGGACCUUGGAAACAAAUAUGGAAAUCUAAUAUCCCUACCAAGAUUAAGGAUUUCACAUGGAAGGUAUGUAAAAGAGCAUGUCUCACUCAGGAGAAACUGAAAAAGAGAGGUUUUGAG
This 226-nucleotide unclassified non-coding RNA is filed under the name Hevea brasiliensis (rubber tree). Lineage: Eukaryota; Viridiplantae; Streptophyta; Magnoliopsida; Malpighiales; Euphorbiaceae. The record is from RNAcentral.